This 215-nucleotide long non-coding RNA is filed under the name Brachypodium distachyon (stiff brome). RNAcentral's name for it is "long non-coding RNA (BDIS_LNC000963)". The record is from RNAcentral. Lineage: Eukaryota; Viridiplantae; Streptophyta; Magnoliopsida; Poales; Poaceae.
GCAAUAGCCAGGCUGCACAACAUUUCAAUUAAACGAAGGAAUCUGAUACAACAAGUACAAUGGUAGCCUUUGCAAAAAGAAACAAAACAAAGAAAACCUAGACAAUCAAAACGUGCCAACAGCAACAAAAAUGCACAAUAAAGAGCACCGUCAAUGCAAUCGAAAGGCGAUGAUCAGCCGAGCCCACCCGGAUAAUCUGUCAUCGCCAUAGCCAA